UUUUUUUUAAUCUUCCCAUCUAUCGUCUGCUGCCUAAUCCUGUUAAUGUAUGUGGAGUCCUGGCCAGUCCUGGACAGGUCAGACUCUAUCAAAGAAUCACAUAAGAGACAAACAACUCAGGUUGCCUAACAACCAAUGGGCUCUGCAGAUCGAUUCCAGGCUUGGUCGUUUAUAUGUUUCACCCUGGCAACCUGGCUGCUGGUUGGUAGAUGGCUAAACUUAGAGUGCUUUGGGAGAUCACCCUGACCAUAAAUGCACCAUAUACGACCAUACCAUGUACCUACGGUCAAUCACAAUGACCAAUAAAACCUCAUUUUCAGCCUAGACGUUUUUGGACUACUACCAAAAGAACAUCCACACAUAUGCAUAGUGUACAAUUGUGGGUCUAACAAAACCAGAACCCUGUUCUUCACAUUUUUUCAAAGCCCUUGUAAUGACUUUUGUCAGUUGUGCACAGGCAUCUAUUGAAUGAGGGCUGUUUCUGUGGCAUGCUGAAUGUGGGUGAUUAUACUCGUGGUCCAAGUAUUAUUUGGCCGAGCUGUGACAUGAUUCUUUUUUUUCUCAGUGGAAAAUGUUAGUGGUCUGGUUUGUGCAUGGAAAACCAAGGUUGAAACUCAUGAGUAGACCCCCACCCCACCCCCGUUCUCUGUCCAUAUACUCCGCUGUGUUCCGUUCACUCCCUACAGUCGCGGUUACCCGCCGUGCGUUUGCCAUCACUUUAAUCGCUGCGCUGUAACGGCAGAGCGGCACCAGCUCUCCCCGCCAUUUCCUUCCCCCGAGCCCUGGAAUGUCGAGUAGCGGCUCGGGCUCUUCUUCAAAGAAGGAGUUCGACGUAAAGCAGAUCCUCAGGAUCAGAUGGAGGUGGUUCGGUCACCCCGCGGUGCCUCCGCCUCACGCCCCGCCGUUAGGAGAAUACUUUGCCGGAAGGAGAGCAGUGAGCAGCCCCGCUGAAGGAGCGUCGGUUACCGGGAGCAGCGGCUCGGUUUCAGCUGGCGUCACUCUCAGCUCUGGCGGUCACGGCGGUCUGGUAGCCAGCGGCAGCGCUGGCUCUAAUCUGUGUCACGGAAGCCCCGGCAAUAGAAAGUUUGCAGAACCGGCAGGGAGUCGCCUCAGUGCGGGAGGAGCGGCUGUAGGAGCGACGGGCAGCUCCUGUCCACGCUCCUUCAGCCAGCCGGAGUGCAGAAGCUCAGCCGCGGGGCUGUCCUGGGUAUCACCGCCGCCUCACCGUCGCUCUCGUCCGUUGACAAGCAUUCAACCUUCCGACGACACUCCAGUGCCUCCGCUGGAAGCUGAUCCCUCUGACCGUGUCGGAGCAGAGGAGGAGGUGGCUGCGGGAGUGGCAGCGGCGGCCACUGAGGAGAACAACCAUCCGGAAACUGACUCCAGCUCUUGCAGAACGUCAAACAGCAGUGCCACGCUGUCCUCGUGCAUGUCUAUGGAACCCUGUGCAUGUCCAGAGGAGUCUCUCUUCACCGCCAUGUCCCACGCUGACGUGACCUUCCGCAAGAUGGAGGGCUACCUGAGGAACCGGCAGCUGUGUGAUGUCAUACUGGUAGCUGGAGACAGGCGGAUACCUGCACACAGACUGGUCCUCUCAUCUGUGUCAGACUACUUUGCAGCCAUGUUCACCAAUGAUGUACGAGAGGCCAAGCAGGAUGAGGUGAAGAUGGAAGGAGUAGACCCUGAUGCAUUGUGGGUCCUUGUGCAAUAUGCAUACACAGGACGUCUGGAGUUGAGGGAGGACACCAUUGAAUCGCUGCUGUCAGCCUCCUGUCUGCUGCAGUUGUCGUCUGUGGUGCAAGCCUGCUGCUCUUUCCUCAUGAAGCAGCUCCACCCCUCCAACUGUCUAGGAAUCAGAUCCUACGCUGACGCUCAGGGAUGUCAUGACCUGCAGAGGGCAGCUCACACCUACACCAUGGAUCACUUUUUAGAAGUCGUGGGAGGCCAGGAGUUCUUACUGCUCCCGGUGGAGGAGAUGGAGAGGCUGCUCACUUCUGAAGACAUUAACGUGCCAGACGAGGAAACGGUGGUGACGUCUUUACUCACGUGGGUUCGUCACGACACCGUAACUCGGCAGCGCCACCUACCUCUGCUUCUGGCGCAUGUCAGACUGCCACUGCUACAGCCACAGUUCCUAGCAGACCUGGAGUCCAACCCUCUGCUGCGGGACAGUGUGGAGUGUCAGCGCCUUCUGAUGGAGGGAAUGAAGUAUCAUCUCCUCCCCCAGCAUAGGCCCCUGCUACAGAGUCCUCGCACUCGUCCUCGUAAGGCUACCGUGGGCGCUAUGUUCGCUGUGGGUGGCAUGGACGCCACGAAAGGUGCUACCAGCAUCGAGCAGUACUGUCUGCGCCAAGACACGUGGAAGCAGGUCGCCACCAUGAGCGGGCGGAGGCUACAGUUUGGUGUUGCGGUUCUUGACGGACGGCUCUAUGUGGUGGGGGGACGAGACGGACUGAAGACCCUGAACACUGUGGAGUGUUACAACCCCCAGAGUAAAACCUGGAGUGUCAUGCCUCCCAUGUCCACACACAGACAUGGCCUUGGUGUAGCCGUCCUGGAGGGACCCAUGUACUCGGUUGGAGGACAUGACGGCUGGAGCUACCUCAGCACAGUGGAACGGUGGGACCCUCAAGCUCGACAGUGGAGCUUUGUAGCCAGUAUGGCCACACCCAGAAGCACUGUGGGCGUAGCUGUGCUUAAUGGUUGUAUGCAGUAGGUGGUAGAGAUGGUUCAUCAUGCCUGCGUUCAGUGGAGUGUUUCGACCCCCACACUAACAGAUGGACUGGUUGUGCUCCUAUGGCUAAACGUCGCGGGGGUGUUGGUGUGGCCACGUGGCAUGGCUUCUUGUACGCCAUCGGAGGGCACGACGCCCCGGCCUCCCCCCCAGCCUC
Molecule: RNA transcript, 2891 nt
Organism: Cynoglossus semilaevis (tongue sole)
Lineage: Eukaryota; Metazoa; Chordata; Actinopteri; Pleuronectiformes; Cynoglossidae
Gene: klhl5
Gene name: kelch-like family member 5
Exons: 11
Source: RefSeq, a predicted model, not a curated record